UACGUAGGUGACAAGCGUUGUCCGGAUUUACUGGGCGUAAAGAGCGCGCAGGCGGUCGAUCAAGUCGAGUGUGAAAGCCCCCGGCUCAACUGGGGAGGGUCAUUCGAUACUGAUCGACUCGAAGGCAGGAGAGGGUAGUGGAAUUCCCGGUGUAGUGGUGAAAUGCGCAGAUAUCGGGAGGAACACCAGUAGCGAAGGCGACACUCUGGGCCGGUACUGACGCUGAGGAGCGAAAGCGUGGGGAGCAAACAGG
Molecule: ribosomal RNA, 253 nt
Filed under: uncultured bacterium
Lineage: Bacteria
Description: partial 16S ribosomal RNA
Rfam family: Bacterial small subunit ribosomal RNA
Source: RNAcentral